UGAGGAAUAUUGGUCAAUGGACGAGAGUCUGAACCAGCCAAGUAGCGUGCAGGAUGACGGUCCUAUGGAUUGUAAACUUCUUUAGUAGGCGAGUAAGGAUAGGUACGUGUACCUAUUAGAAAGUAGCCUAAGAAUAAGUAUCGGCUAACUCCGUGCCAGCAGCCGCGGUAAUACGGAGGAUACGAGCGUUAUCCGGAUUUAUUGGGUUUAAAGGGUGCGUAGGUGGCUGAUUAAGUCAGUGGUGAAAAGCUAUGGCUCAACCAUAGUCUUGCCGUUGAUACUGGUUAGCUUGAGUGUAGAUGAUGUAGGCGGAACGUGUAGUGUAGCGGUGAAAUGCAUAGAUAUUACGCAGAACUCCGAUUGCGAAGGCAGCUUACAAAACUACUACUGACACUGAGGCACGAAAGCGUGGGUAUCAAACAGG
This 424-nucleotide ribosomal RNA is filed under the name Verrucomicrobiota bacterium. RNAcentral's name for it is "Verrucomicrobia bacterium partial 16S ribosomal RNA". It matches the Rfam family "Bacterial small subunit ribosomal RNA", at positions 355 to 776 of the family's 1533-position model. The record is from RNAcentral. Lineage: Bacteria; Pseudomonadati; Verrucomicrobiota.